Small nucleolar RNA from Ziziphus jujuba (common jujube), 94 nucleotides. RefSeq annotates it as small nucleolar RNA R32/R81/Z41. The transcript has a single exon. NCBI's taxonomy places the organism in Eukaryota, Viridiplantae, Streptophyta, Magnoliopsida, Rosales, Rhamnaceae. The record is from RefSeq and is a predicted model, not a curated record.
AUUCGAAUAUGAUGAAAGCAAUACAUAAACGGGUGAUGAUUAUUCAUUUUUAUAUGAUCAGAGAUCUACUCGCUACGUUCUUUCUGAUUCAUUU